RNAcentral lists this long non-coding RNA (506 nucleotides) under Anas platyrhynchos platyrhynchos (common mallard). RNAcentral describes it as "lncRNA (ENSAPLG00000030825.1)". Lineage: Eukaryota; Metazoa; Chordata; Aves; Anseriformes; Anatidae. The record is from RNAcentral.
GAAAAAAGCCUGAUAUGAAAAACUGAAGCAGAAAAAAAUCCACAUAUAGUCCACUGAAAAAACUCUCAUGGACUUCUGGAGAUUUUAUUAGAAGAAACACUUUAAUAGUUCCCUCAGGUAACUGAUAGUCAUUGUUCAACAUAAACAAGUGAUGAGCUUUGGAUGCUACAAGCUGUAGUGAAGUGCUGGACGUGAUAAACCAAUUUCUGUUUCUUUUGAUGCAAAUCUUCUGUUUUUCUAUGGUUAAAGAAGUAAGGACAGCCGUCUCUCCAAGGCAUGAAACUUCUGGAAACCAUCUUGUUGCAUUAAGGAGUCUCAACUUAUUCCCUCAGCUGCUGCAUAAUUCCAUCAUCUCUUUUGAGUUCUUUUAAUCUUCUUUUUCUAUUAUUUUUUUUCCCAAAUUAUUUCCCCAAAAUUUCCAUUUUUUUCAAAAAAAAUCAUUUUUUUUUUCAAAAAUAAUACUUGGUACCAAUAAAUUAUACAGAUCUUUUAUGUAUAUUAUCUAU